Molecule: ribosomal RNA, 150 nt
Filed under: Trichia varia
Lineage: Eukaryota; Evosea; Eumycetozoa; Trichiida; Trichiidae
Description: partial small subunit ribosomal RNA
Source: RNAcentral
CUGUAAAGGAAUUGACGGAAGGGCACCACCAGGAGUGGAUUGACGCUCCUAAGAGCCACGAUGAUGGCUAAUCUGUGCUGCGCAGCAGCAGCAGCAGGUUACACUGCCAAAUUGCGGGGACCUCCUUAGAGCUGAAGCUACUGACGCUGC